RNAcentral lists this non-coding RNA (24 nucleotides) under Mus musculus (house mouse). The record is from RNAcentral. Lineage: Eukaryota; Metazoa; Chordata; Mammalia; Rodentia; Muridae.
UGAAUCAGACAUGGAUCCUGCCCU